GGAGGUGUAGCUCAGUGGUGGAGCAUGUGCUUAGCAUGCGAGAGCCCCUGGGUUCUAUCCCCAGCACCACCA
RNAcentral lists this transfer RNA (72 nucleotides) under Ictidomys tridecemlineatus (thirteen-lined ground squirrel). RNAcentral describes it as "Spermophilus tridecemlineatus (thirteen-lined ground squirrel) tRNA". It matches the Rfam family "tRNA". From Rfam's summary of the family: Transfer RNA (tRNA) molecules are approximately 80 nucleotides in length. Their secondary structure includes four short double-helical elements and three loops (D, anti-codon, and T loops). Further hydrogen bonds mediate the characteristic L-shaped molecular structure. tRNAs have two regions of fundamental functional importance: the anti-codon, which is responsible for specific mRNA codon recognition, and the 3' end, to which the tRNAs corresponding amino acid is attached (by aminoacyl-tRNA synthetases). tRNAs cope with the degeneracy of the genetic code in two manners: having more than one tRNA (with a specific anti-codon) for a particular amino acid; and 'wobble' base-pairing, i.e. permitting non-standard base-pairing at the 3rd anti-codon position. Lineage: Eukaryota; Metazoa; Chordata; Mammalia; Rodentia; Sciuridae. The record is from Rfam by way of RNAcentral.